ACAGGGAGACAACAACUGAUCGUGAUGUCUGAGUUUUUUUAUUCUUAGGCCAUGAUCCUGUCAUCUCGAAGGUCGAUCGGUACCUCAACUUGAGGGUGAGAGAAGGACUGAGUAAUCAGUCUAGAGACUUACCAAUCAAUUUCAGUUCCUAAACUUUGUCUAGGUCACCCCACAGAGGGUAAAGCCGAGAACGUGUGCAGCAAUGUGCAUGUUGAAUCUGGCCAGCCGAAAGGCGAGCUGGAAGCGGCAACAACUCCUGGGCCAUUAGCUCAGGUGGUUAGAGCGCACCCCUGAUAAGGGUGAGGUCCCUGGUUCAAGUCCAGGAUGGCCCAUUCUUGUUUGGGGGUUUAGCUCAGUUGGUAGAGCGCCUGCUUUGCAAGCAGGAUGUCAGCGGUUCGAGUCCGCUAACCUCCAUCCAAUGAUAGUGUGCCCCAAGCAACGAUUUUAAAGGAGUUGCUGGUGAGGUGAUUUAGAUGGUUGACGCUGAGUCAAAUUGACUCCAGCCUCGUGUCAUUCUUGGUUUUGACCAAGUUGUUACGAUGCUGGACUCAAUGCGUUCUGGAGACAGAGCGUAUUAGAGGAUCAGCAGAACCUUGACAACUGCAUAGGUGAGUCUGGAAAGAAUAAGCAUCUCAUGGAUGCUGACUCGAGAGAGUCAGUGAUUCUGUUUUGAGAGCCGAGACCUUCUAGCGUUCUUACUAAGGCGCCGAGCCGAUAGUGAGUCUGAUCCUUGUUUGCAUGCAAACUUGAGAGAAUAGGCCUCAACAGCCUGAA
This 774-nucleotide transfer RNA is filed under the name Synechococcus sp. MA0607G. RNAcentral describes it as "partial 16S-23S ribosomal RNA intergenic spacer". The stretch from base 342 to 414 matches the Rfam family "tRNA". Lineage: Bacteria; Bacillati; Cyanobacteriota; Cyanophyceae; Synechococcales; Synechococcaceae. The record is from RNAcentral.